Molecule: ribosomal RNA, 253 nt
Filed under: uncultured bacterium
Lineage: Bacteria
Description: partial 16S ribosomal RNA
Rfam family: Bacterial small subunit ribosomal RNA
Source: RNAcentral
UACGUAGGUGGCAAGCGUUGUCCGGAUUUAUUGGGUUUAAAGGGUGCGUAGGCGGCUUAUUAAGUCAGUGGUGAAAUACUCUAGCUCAACUAGAGGGGUGCCAUUGAUACUGAUGAGCUUGAGUACAGAUGAGGUAGGCGGAAUUGACGGUGUAGCGAUGAAAUGCUUAGAUAUCGUCAAGAACACCUAUAGCGAAGGCAGCUUACUAGGCUGUAACUGACGCUGAGGCACGAAAGUGUGGGGAUCAAACAGG